AUUGAACGCUGGCGGCAUGCCUUACACAUGCAAGUCGAACGGCAGCACGGGAGCAAUCCUGGUGGCGAGUGGCGAACGGGUGAGUAAUAUAUCGGAACGUGCCCAGUCGUGGGGAUAACGUAGCGAAAGCUACGCUAAUACCGCAUACGAUCUAUGGAUGAAAGCGGGGGAUCGCAAGACCUCGCGCGAUUGGAGCGGCCGAUAUCAGAUUAGGUAGUUGGUGAGGUAAUGGCUCACCAAGGCGACGAUCCGUAACUGGUCUGAGAGGAUGAUCAGUCACACUGGAACUGAGACACGGUCCAGACUCCUACGGGAGGCAGCAGUGGGGGAAUAUUGGACAAUGGGCGAAAGCCUGAUCCAGCCAUGCCGCGU
This 372-nucleotide ribosomal RNA is filed under the name uncultured bacterium. Its description in RNAcentral is "bacterial SSU rRNA". It matches the Rfam family "Bacterial small subunit ribosomal RNA", at positions 30 to 402 of the family's 1533-position model. The record is from RNAcentral.